GACGAACGCUGGCGGCGUGCCUAAUACAUGCAAGUCGAACGGGAGCGACCGGUGCUUGCACUGGUCAAUCUAGUGGCGAACGGGUGAGUAACACGUGGGUAACCUGCCCAUCAGAGGGGGAUAACAUCCGGAAACGGAUGCUAAAACCGCAUAGGUCUUCGAGCCGCAUGGCUUGAAGAGGAAAAGAGGCGCAAGCUUCUGCUGAUGGAUGGACCCGCGGUGCAUUAGCUAGUUGGUUAGGUAACGGCUCACCAAGGCCGUGAUGCAUAGCCGACCUGAGAGGGUGAUCGGCCACAUUGGGACUGAGACACGGCCCAAACUCCUACGGGAGGCAGCAGUAGGGAAUCUUCCGCAAUGGACGCAAGUCUGACGGAGCAACGCCGCGUGAGUGAAGAAGGUUUUCGGAUCGUAAAACUCUGUUGUUAGAGAAGAACAAGUGCUAGAGUAACUGUUAGCGCCUUGACGGUAUCUAACCAGAAAGCCACGGCUAACUACGUG
This 498-nucleotide ribosomal RNA is filed under the name uncultured bacterium. Its description in RNAcentral is "partial 16S ribosomal RNA". It matches the Rfam family "Bacterial small subunit ribosomal RNA", at positions 28 to 507 of the family's 1533-position model. The record is from RNAcentral.